Molecule: small nuclear RNA, 107 nt
Organism: Lutra lutra (Eurasian river otter)
Lineage: Eukaryota; Metazoa; Chordata; Mammalia; Carnivora; Mustelidae
Source: RefSeq, a predicted model, not a curated record
GUGCUGGCUUUGGCAGCAUAUACACUAAAAUUGGAACAAUACUGAGAAGAUUAGCAUGGUCUCUGUGCAAUAAUGACAGGCAAAUUCGUGAAGGGUUCCAUAUUUUG